Molecule: ribosomal RNA, 460 nt
Filed under: uncultured bacterium
Lineage: Bacteria
Description: partial 16S ribosomal RNA
Rfam family: Bacterial small subunit ribosomal RNA
Source: RNAcentral
CCUACGGGAGGCAGCAGUGAGGAAUAUUGGUCAAUGGACGCAAGCCUGAACCAGCCAUGCCGCGUGCAGGAAGACGGCUCUAUGAGUUGUAAACUGCUUUUGUACGAGGGUAAACGCAGAUACGCGUAUCUGUCUGACAGUAUCGUACGAAUAAGGAUCGACUAACUCCGUGCCAGCAGCCGCGGUAAUACGGAGGAUUCAAGCGUUAUCCGGAUUUAUUGGGUUUAAAGGGUGCGUAGGCGGUCGGAUAAGUUAGAGGUGAAAUCCCGAGGCUCAACUUCGGAAUUGCCUCUGAUACUGUUCGGCUAGAGAGUAGUUGAGGUAGGCGGAAUGUAUGGUGUAGCGGUGAAAUGCUUAGAGAUCAUACAGAACACCGAUUGCGAAGGCAGCUUACCAAGCUACUUCUGACGUUGAGGCACGAAAGCGUGGGGAGCAAACAGGAUUAGAUACCCCUGUAGUC